AUUCACCCGUGUCUUUUGCGUACUUCUUGUUUCCUGGGUGGGUUCGCCCACCACCAGGACAAACCAUAAACCUUUUGCAAUUGCAAUCAGCGUCAGUAACAACAUAAUAAUUACAACUUUCAACAACGGAUCUCUUGGUUCUGGCAUCGAUGAAGAACGCAGCGAAAUGCGAUAAGUAGUGUGAAUUGCAGAAUUCAGUGAAUCAUCGAAUCUUUGAACGCACAUUGCGCCCUUUGGUAUUCCAAAGGGCAUGCCUGUUCGAGCGUCAUUUGUACCCUCAAGCUUUGCUUGGUGUUGGGCGUCUUGUCUUCAGCUUGCUGGAGACUCGCCUUAAAGUCAUUGGCAGCCGGCCUACUGGUUUCGGAGCGCAGCACAAGUCGCGCUCUUUUCCAGCCAAGGUCAGCGUCCACCAAGCCUUUUUUCAACUUUUGACCUCGGAUCAGGUAGGGAU
Molecule: ribosomal RNA, 451 nt
Filed under: Alternaria planifunda
Lineage: Eukaryota; Fungi; Ascomycota; Dothideomycetes; Pleosporales; Pleosporaceae
Description: eukaryotic LSU rRNA
Rfam family: 5.8S ribosomal RNA (bases 115-268)
Source: RNAcentral